RNAcentral lists this ribosomal RNA (234 nucleotides) under Triticum aestivum (bread wheat). RNAcentral describes it as "partial small subunit ribosomal RNA". The record is from RNAcentral. Lineage: Eukaryota; Viridiplantae; Streptophyta; Magnoliopsida; Poales; Poaceae.
AUGCAGCCCAUCCUUGACAAGGCAAGAUCAAGGAUUAAGCCAUGGAAGGGGAAGAUGCUUAACAGGCCAGGCAAGCUUGCUUUGGUUAACUCGGUCCUAACUGCUAUUGCAACUUAUUAUCUGACGUGCUUUGCUGCGGAUGAAUGGGCCUCCAAAAUGCUGGACAAGUUAAGGCCGAGUUUCCUUUGGGCUGGAGAGGAAGAGGCCAAUGGAGGGAAAUGCAUGGUGAACUGA